GACAGAGGAGGCAAGCGUUGUUCGGAAUCACUGGGCUUAAAGCGGGUGUAGGCGGCUUGGAAAGUGUCGUGUGAAAGCCCUCGGCUCAACCGGGGAACUGCACGGCAAACUGCCUGGCUUGAGGUCGGUAGGGGUGCCUGGAACUCUAGGUGGAGCGGUGAAAUGCGUAGAUAUCUAGAGGAACGCCGGAGGCGAAAGCGGGGCACUGGGCCGAUUCUGACGCUGAGACCCGAAAGCGUGGGGAGCAAACAGGAUUAGAUACCCUGGUAGUCCACGCCGUAAACGAUGCACACUAGGUGUCGGAGAUUCUGAUAUCGUCGGCGCCGAAGGAAAACUACUAAGUGUGCCGCCUGGGGAGUACGGCCGCAAGGCUAAA
RNAcentral lists this ribosomal RNA (376 nucleotides) under uncultured bacterium. RNAcentral describes it as "bacterial SSU rRNA". It matches the Rfam family "Bacterial small subunit ribosomal RNA", at positions 524 to 898 of the family's 1533-position model. The record is from RNAcentral.